Molecule: ribosomal RNA, 443 nt
Filed under: uncultured Parabacteroides sp.
Lineage: Bacteria; Pseudomonadati; Bacteroidota; Bacteroidia; Bacteroidales; Tannerellaceae
Description: bacterial SSU rRNA
Rfam family: Bacterial small subunit ribosomal RNA
Source: RNAcentral
UGAGGAAUAUUGGGUCAAUGGGCGAGAGCCUGAACCAGCCAAGUAGCGUGCAGGAUGACGGCCCUAUGGGUUGUAAACUGCUUUUAUAAGGGAAUAAAGUGAGCCUCGUGAGGCUUUUUGCAUGUACCUUAUGAAUAAGCAUCGGCUAACUCCGUGCCAGCAGCCGCGGUAAUACGGAGGAUGCGAGCGUUAUCCGGAUUCAUUGGGUUUAAAGGGUGCGUAGGUCGCCGAUUAAGUCAGCGGUGAAAGUCAGUGGCUCAACCAUUGAACUGCCGUUGAAACUGGUUGGCUUGAGUACGUACGGGGCAGGCGGAAUGCGUGGUGUAGCGGUGAAAUGCAUAGAUAUCACGCAGAACCCCGAUCGCGAAGGCAGCCUGCCAGGCCGUGACUGACACUGAUGCACGAAAGCGUGGGUAUCGAACAGGAUUAGAUACCCUGGUAGU